GACGAACGCUGGCGGCGUGCUUAACACAUGCAAGUCGAACGAGAGGACAAGAGAAGCUUGCUUCUUUUGGAAUCGAGUGGCAAACGGGUGAGUAACACGUAAACAACCUGCCUUCAGGAUGGGGACAACAGACGGAAACGACUGCUAAUACCGAAUACGCUUGGGAGACCGCAUGAUCUACCAAGGAAAGGGUGGCCUCUACCUGUAAGCUAUCGCCUGAAGAGGGGUUUGCGUCUGAUUAGGCAGUUGGUGAGGUAACGGCCCACCAAACCUAUGAUCAGUAGCCGGUCUGAGAGGAUGAACGGCCACACUGGAACUGAGACACGGUCCAGACUCCUACGGGAGGCAGCAGUGGGGGAUAUUGCACAAUGGGGGAAACCCUGAUGCAGCGACGCCGCGUGGAGGAAGAAGGUUUUCGGAUUGUAAACUCCUGUCGUUAGGGACGAUAAUGACGGUACCUAACAA
Molecule: ribosomal RNA, 465 nt
Filed under: uncultured bacterium
Lineage: Bacteria
Description: bacterial SSU rRNA
Rfam family: Bacterial small subunit ribosomal RNA
Source: RNAcentral